This 253-nucleotide ribosomal RNA is filed under the name uncultured bacterium. Its description in RNAcentral is "partial 16S ribosomal RNA". It matches the Rfam family "Bacterial small subunit ribosomal RNA", at positions 524 to 776 of the family's 1533-position model. The record is from RNAcentral.
UACGUAGGUGGCAAGCGUUGUCCGGAUUUAUUGGGUUUAAAGGGUGCGUAGGCGGCCCUGUAAGUCAGUGGUGAAAUACUCUAGCUUAACUAGAGGGGUGCCAUUGAUACUGCAGGGCUUGAGUACAGACGAGGUAGGCGGAAUUGACGGUGUAGCGGCGAAAUGCAUAGAUAUCGUCAAGAACUCCGAUAGUGAAGACAGCUUACUAGGCUGUAACUGACGCUGAGGCACGAAAGUGUGGGGAUCAAACAGG